AUUGAACGCUGGCGGCAUGCCUUACACAUGCAAGUCGAACGGUAACAGGUCUUCGGAUGCUGACGAGUGGCGAACGGGUGAGUAAUACAUCGGAACGUGCCCGAUCUUGGGGGAUAACGAGGCGAAAGCUUUGCUAAUACCGCAUACGAUCUACGGAUGAAAGCGGGGGAUCUUCGGACCUCGCGCGGACGGAGCGGCCGAUGGCAGAUUAGGUAGUUGGUGGGAUAAAAGCUUACCAAGCCGACGAUCUGUAGCUGGUCUGAGAGGAUGAUCAGCCACACUGGGACUGAGACACGGCCCAGACUCCUACGGGAGGCAGCAGUGGGGAAUUUUGGACAAUGGGCGAAAGCCUGAUCCAGCCAGGCCGCGUGCAGGAUGAAGGCCUGUGGGUUGUAAACUGCUUUUGUACGGAACGAAAAGACUCUUUCUAAGAAAGAGGGGUCAGGACGGUACCGGAAGAAGAAGCACCGGCGAACUACGG
This 481-nucleotide ribosomal RNA is filed under the name uncultured bacterium. RNAcentral's name for it is "partial 16S ribosomal RNA". It matches the Rfam family "Bacterial small subunit ribosomal RNA", at positions 30 to 506 of the family's 1533-position model. The record is from RNAcentral.